GCAGCCUAGGCUUCUCCUCUUGCUGCCGCUGCUCCUCUCAACCAGCUGCCACUGCUGCCAGUUCUUCCAAGCCCCUGCUAAGAUGGGCAGCAUCGCCCACGAGCCUGCCAUGGCGCCCAAUGAACAGCAGGAGCCCAAGGAGCUGGAGCACACUGAACACCGAGCCCCAGUCAAGCGGGACUACUACCAUCGAAUCUUUGUGAACCGGAGCCUCGCACUGGAGAAGAUCAAAUGCUUUGGCUUCGAUAUGGACUAUACAUUAGCAAUGUACAAGUCCCCUGACUAUGAAGAGCUGGCAUUUGAACUGUUGCUGGAGCGGCUGGUGUCCAUCGGAUACCCCCAUGAGAUCCUGGAGUAUAAAUAUGACCCCACUUUCCCUACCAGGGGCCUGGUCUUUGAUUCCCUGUAUGGGAAUUUGCUGAAGGUGGAUUCCCAUGGGAACCUUCUGGUGUGUGCACAUGGCUUCCACUUCCUCAAGGGGGCUGACAUCUGGAAUUAUUACCCCAACAAGUUCAUCCAGAGGGAUGACAUGAAGCGAUUCCACAUUCUAAACACUUUAUUUAACUUGACAGAAACCUACCUCUGUGCCUGCCUGGUGGAUUUCUUCACCAGCUGCUCCAGAUACGUGAAUUGCGACACUGGUUACAAACACGGCAAUCUCUUCAUGUCCUUUCGCAGCAUUUUCCAAGAUGUGAGAGAAGCCAUGGACUACGUGCACCUCUCGGGCUGCCUCAAGGAGAAGACCUUGGAGAAGCUGGAGAAGUAUGUGGUGAAAGAUCCACGCGUUCCUCUCCUGCUGAGUCGUAUGAAGGAGGUGGGGAAGGUGUUCCUUGCCACCAACAGUGACUACAACUACACAGAUGCAAUAAUGACAUACUUGUUUGACUUCAGUGAAGACGAUGCGCAGGAGGAAUCCCAGCACCGCUCCUGGCGCUCCUGUUUUGAUGUGAUUGUCGUUGACACGCGCAAGCCGCUUUUCUUUGCUGAGGGAACUGUUCUGCGACAGGUCAAUACGGACACAGGGAAACUGCGGAUUGGCACCUACACAGGACCGCUUCAACACUGUGCUGUCUUCUCUGGAGGCUCCUCGGACCUGGUGUGUGAUCUGUUGGGAGUCAAGGGCAAGGACAUCCUCUACAUUGGAGAUCACAUAUUUGGGGAUAUCCUCAAAUCCAAGAAGAGGCAGGGGUGGCGUACCUUCUUGGUGGUGCCGGAACUGGCCAAGGAGCUGCAAGUGUGGACGGAGAAAAGUGAACUCUUUGAGGAGCUGCGAAGUCUGGAUGUAUUCCUGGCAGAGUUGUACCAACACCUGGACAGCGGAAGCAAUGAGCGCCCAGACAUCAGCUCCAUCAAGAAGCGGAUACAGAAAGUCACCCACGAAAUGGACAUGUGCUAUGGGAAGAUGGGCAGCCUCUUCCGCUGUGGCUCCCGCCAGACGCUCUUUGCCAAUCAGCUGAUGCGCUACGCGGAUCUCUAUGCCGCCUCCUUCAUUAACUUCCUGUAUUACCCUUUCAGUUACCUUUUCCGGGCACCAUCGACCCUGAUGCCUCAUGAAUCAACUGUGGAGCACAUACAGGUGGAGCACAGUGAGGCAAGAUCCCUCACAGGACAUCGGAUGCACCAACCCAGGAAGCAGGUUAGCAGCUGGAGGCUGCAAGUGGCUAGAAGAGUUUGCUCAUAAAAGAAGAGAAGCGCCACUGGCAAACUCCAUGCAGGGACCAGUGUCAAAGCAGAUGAACUCACAUCGGAGGGUCUCCUCAGAAAUUGCUUGACAACAUUGAGAGAGAAAAGAGAGAUUUCUAAAGGGCAAUGAAACAUCAAGAUUAUCAUGAGAAGGCCCAGAGUGUUUCCCAGGAGGUCAAUGGCAAUGAGGAUGAUGACAACUGAAUCACCGGCCCAUCCCCAAAAUCUGAUGGUGAACAGAAACCUGCUGGUGGCAAAUUACUGUAGGGUCUCUGCCUUCGGCUACUAGAAUGAAGGCUUCUGAAAUGGAGCAAUGAACCCACCCACCCUCCCACUCUACAAGCAAGCCUCUCCCUGUGAAGAUCCCCAAUUUCUAGAGGUCGGCCAAGGGUUCCACACAGGUUCCCAGCCGGUCAAGCGGAACUGUUACUUCGGAGGAAGAACCCCAGCCUCGGACCGGUCUUUGCUACUUUCUGAUUCAGGACAUGAUCUUCUACAGUGUUUGAUUAUUAUUCAGCGCUGUGACUGCUUUUAUAUCCUACUUGUUUGCUUUUUUCUGUGCCUGCCUUCUUGUUCUUGUUUUGCGACCACUUGCUACUGGUCGUGGCCGGGCUUGCUCUGGUUAAUGCUGUCCUUCGCUUGUUUUACUUCUCUGGCUUCUUGCUAUUUCUCUCUCCUCAUUUUCUUCUCUCAAUUCUUUUCUCCUCAUAUCCGUUCCUUAUGGCUCGUUCCAUUUUCGUUUCUCCCAACUUAGUUCCUAUUCGGUGUCUCCCCUCUUCUCAGCUGCCUUUUUCGUGUUCCUUAUGGAACUGUCGCUCUGUUGCUUCUAAGGCCCCUGUCAUUCAGGACUUGUUUAUCUCUAGGUCUCUCCACCUCCUUGCUCUUACUGAAACCUGGCUUCCUGCCCAUGAUACCGCCAUCUCGGCUGCCCUCUCUCUUGGAGGACUCUCUUUCUCUCGCACCAGUCGCCCAGAGGGUGGUGGUGGUGGUGUGGGUCUUUUAUUAUCUAGUUUGUGCCAGUUCCAGCCUCUUUCCAUUCCACCUUCACAUUGUUUUUCCUCCUUUGAGGCACAUGUGGUGAGGCUCUUCGCUCCAUUGCGACUGCGGAUUGCAGUUCUGUACCGCCCCCCAGGCUCAUCCUCAAAAUUUAUCUCUGAUUUUGAUUCAUGGCUGUCCUUUUUCCUCUCUGAUAACUGUCCUACUCUUAUCUUGGGUAAUUUCAAUAUUCAUGUGGAUGACCCUCAAGACGCUGCAGCUCUACAUUUUCUCUCAUUAUCUUCCUCUUAUGAUCUUAAGCUUUUGUCUGAUGCACCCACACAUUCCCUUGGACACUGUUUGGAUCUUGUUCUCACUCGGAAUUGCUCUGUUUUGGACUUUUCUACUGCUGACUUUCCUUUGUCAGAUCAUCAUCUAGUUUCUUUCAUGAUUACUCAUAAUCCUCCUCCUUCACAUCCCGUUUCUCGCUCUUGUCGUGAUUUGCAAUCUAUCAAUUAUGAGGCUUUUUCUCAGUCUCUAGCCUCCUCUCUUCCUUCUGUCUUUUCUGCUGUCUCCUUGGACUCAGCUGUCUCUUUCUUUAACUCCUCCUUAUCUUCAACUCUUGAUAAUCUUGCUCCAUCUACAACUCAGAUAGUUCGUCCUUCUCAACCCCAACCGUGGCUCGCCUCUUUCCUCCGCUACCUUCGUUCUUGUUCCCGGGCAGCUGAACGCCUUUAGCGUAGGACCAGGGACUGGGCGGACUUUGUCCAUUACAAAUUUGUUCUCUCCUCUUUCUCUUCUGCUAUUUCAUUGGCCAAACAGCAGUAUUACUCAAUGUUGAUCCAGACAAAUGCUACGUAUCCUCAGCGGCUCUUUGCGUCCUUCAAUUCUCUUCUGAAGCCUAAUCCACCAUCUCUCCCCGCCUCUCUGUCUGCUAAUAACUUUGCCUCUUUUUUCAAUGCUAAAAUCCAAACUAUUCGCUCUGAUCUUGCCAGCUCUGCUCCUCUUCCAGUUCCUGUUCCUCAUCUGUCAGUUCCUCCUGCAAAUUUCUCUGCAUUUCCUUCGGUCUCAGCUGAUGAACUGUCUACAAUACUGCACUCUUCGAAGCCUUCCACUUGUUCUCGUGAUCCGAUUCCUUCUCAGGUCUUUAUUAAUCUUAUCCCUGCUAUCCUCCCUUCCUUGCUUCAUAUUAUUAAUUUUUCUUUGUCCUCUGGUUCAUUUCCUUCUGCUUUUAAACAUGCUACAGUCUCUCCUAUUCUCAAGAAACCUACUCUUGAUGUGCUUUCUCUGUCUAACUACCGACCUGUCUCUUUGUUGCCUUUUGUUUCAAAGAUCCUGGAGCAUGUGGUCUACUCUCGUUGUCUUGAUUUUCUUUCUAGUAACUCUGCUCUGGAUCCUUUUCAAUCUGGAUUCCGUCCUUUGCAUUCCACUGAAACAGCCCUUACUAAGAUUACCAAUGAUCUUAUUACCAAGUCUAAAGGCCUUUAUUCCGUUCUUAUUCUCCUUGAUCUAACUGCAGCCUUUGACAUGGUUGAUCACGAUCUUCUUUUGGAUUCCCUUCAUGACCUCGGAUUUUGUGGCUCCGUCUAUAACUGGUUUGCCUCCUAUCUAGCGGGUCGCUCUUUCAACGUGUUGGCUAAUGGCAGCUCGUCUUCUACUUUUCCCCUUUCAGUAGGGGUUCCGCAAGGCUCGGUGCUUGGCCCGUUGUUGUUUUCUUUAUACAUGUUGCCCUUGGGUAAUCUUAUUCAAUCU
This is an RNA transcript of Elgaria multicarinata webbii, 4410 nucleotides long. It is a transcript of the gene named cytosolic purine 5'-nucleotidase-like, with no coding region annotated. The record is from RefSeq and is a predicted model, not a curated record. NCBI's taxonomy places the organism in Eukaryota, Metazoa, Chordata, Lepidosauria, Squamata, Anguidae. The transcript has 19 exons.